GACGAACGCUGGCGGCGCGCCUAACACAUGCAAGUCGAACGGAGUCAAGAGGAGCUUGCUUUUCUUGACUUAGUGGCGAACGGGUGAGUAACGCGUGAGUAACCUGCCCUGGAGUGGGGGACAACAGUUGGAAACGACUGCUAAUACCGCAUGAGCCCACGGAUCCGCAUGGAUCUGCGGGAAAAGGAUUUAUUCGCUUCAGGAUGGACUCGCGUCCAAUUAGCUAGUUGGUGAGGUAACGGCCCACCAAGGCGACGAUUGGUAGCCGGGCUGAGAGGUUGAACGGCCACAUUGGGACUGAGACACGGCCCAGACUCCUACGGGAGGCAGCAGUGGGGGAUAUUGCACGAUGGGGGAAACCCUGAUGCAGCGACGCCGCGUGGAGGAAGAAGGUUUUCGGAUUGUAAACUCCUGUCGUUAGGGACGAUAAUGACGGUACCUAACAAGAAAGCACCGGCUAACUACGUG
RNAcentral lists this ribosomal RNA (468 nucleotides) under uncultured bacterium. Its description in RNAcentral is "partial 16S ribosomal RNA". It matches the Rfam family "Bacterial small subunit ribosomal RNA", at positions 28 to 507 of the family's 1533-position model. The record is from RNAcentral.